RNAcentral lists this ribosomal RNA (497 nucleotides) under uncultured bacterium. RNAcentral describes it as "partial 16S ribosomal RNA". It matches the Rfam family "Bacterial small subunit ribosomal RNA", at positions 28 to 507 of the family's 1533-position model. The record is from RNAcentral.
GAUGAACGCUGGCGGCGUGCCUAAUACAUGCAAGUCGAGCGAACAGACGCGGCUCUUGCUCCUCUGACGUUUGCCGCGGGCGUGUGUGACACAUGUGUAUACCCUCCCUAUCAGACUGGUAACACUUCGAGAAACCGGAGCUAAUCCCGUAUAAUAUAUUGCACCGCGUGGUUCAAUAGUGAAAGACGGUUUUGCUGUCUGUUAUAGAUGGUUCCGCGCCGGAUUGGGUGGUUGGUAAGGUAAAGGGUUACCAAGGCAACGAGGCGUAGACGACCGAAGGGGGUGAUCGGCCACACUGGAACGGGAACAGGGACCAUACUCCUGAGGGAGGCAGCAGUAGGGAAUCUUCCGCAAUGGGCGGAAGCCUGACGGAGCAACGCCGCGUGAGUGAUGAAGGUCUUGGGAUCGUAAAGCUGUGUUAUGAGUGAAGAACAGAUGUGUAAUGAACUAUGCCCGUAUUGACGGUACCUAGUCAGAAAGCAACGGCUAACUACGUG